RNAcentral lists this unclassified non-coding RNA (345 nucleotides) under Hevea brasiliensis (rubber tree). Lineage: Eukaryota; Viridiplantae; Streptophyta; Magnoliopsida; Malpighiales; Euphorbiaceae. The record is from RNAcentral.
AUGGGUAGCACCUGUGACAACUACAAGCAUACCAGCCGCCCCAUCAUCCAUCACUGCUUUUAAAACUAUCUGGGACAUGUUGUACUCUUCAACAACUCUUGCUUGUGCAGAGAGAUAUGAGCUUGGUCCAAAAGGAGUAGGCUGGUUCAGCAUAUUUACAUCAGCAGCUGAUCUGCGCGACAUAGACGAAAAGCCUGAGAUAAAACCUGAACCAGCUGGAGGAGCAUAUUUCUUACGAUCGGCUUUUGAAAGCCCCCGAAUACCUUCUGCUUGAACUGUUCGUAGGACCUCUAGAGGCAAACCACAUGCGACUAGUCGAACCCCAUUUUCGCGACAAUAAGUCAA